Molecule: transfer RNA, 73 nt
Filed under: Mesocricetus auratus (golden hamster)
Lineage: Eukaryota; Metazoa; Chordata; Mammalia; Rodentia; Cricetidae
Rfam family: tRNA
About the family: Transfer RNA (tRNA) molecules are approximately 80 nucleotides in length. Their secondary structure includes four short double-helical elements and three loops (D, anti-codon, and T loops).
Source: Rfam by way of RNAcentral
GGAGAGAUGGCUCAGUGGUUAAGAGCACUGGCUGCUCUUCCAGAGGAUCUGGGUUCAAUCCCUAGUGUCCACA